This 455-nucleotide ribosomal RNA is filed under the name uncultured bacterium. Its description in RNAcentral is "partial 16S ribosomal RNA". It matches the Rfam family "Bacterial small subunit ribosomal RNA", at positions 341 to 792 of the family's 1533-position model. The record is from RNAcentral.
ACGGGAGGCAGCAGUGGGGAAUAUUGCACAAUGGGGGGAACCCUGACCCAGCCAUGCCGCGUGAGGGAAUGAGGCCCUACGGGUCGUGAACCUCUUUUGCCUGGGGAUAAACCGCCCCGCUGGACGGGGCGCUGCAGGUACCAGGCGAAUAAGCAUCGGCUAACUCCGUGCCAGCAGCCGCGGUAAUACGGAGGAUGCGAGCGUUAUCCGGAUUCAUUGGGUUUAAAGGGUGCGCAGGCGGCGCGUUAAGUCAGCGGUGAAAGGCAGGGGCCCAACCCCGGCAGUGCCGUUGAUACUGGCGCGCUGGAAUGCGGUCGAGGCGGGCGGAAUGUGGCGUGUAGCGGUGAAAUGCAUAGAUAUGCCACAGAACUCCGAUAGCGAAGGCAGCUCGCCAGGCCUGCAUUGACGCUCAGGCACGUAAGCGUGGGGAUCGAACAGGAUUAGAUACCCUGGUA